This 553-nucleotide ribosomal RNA is filed under the name uncultured bacterium. Its description in RNAcentral is "bacterial SSU rRNA". It matches the Rfam family "Bacterial small subunit ribosomal RNA", at positions 66 to 630 of the family's 1533-position model. The record is from RNAcentral.
ACGAGNACGGAUAUAAGUUUACUUAUAUUGUCAGCUAAGUGGCGCACGGGUGAGUAAUAUAUAGUUAAUCUGCCCCAAAGAAGAGAAUAAUUGUUGGGAACGACUUGUAAUGCUCUAUAUGCCUUUAUUACAUAAGUAAGCAAGGGAAACAUUUAUGGCUUUGGGAUGAGACUGUACGGUAUCAGCUAGUUGGUGAGGUAAUGGCUCACCAAGGCAAUGACAUCUAACUGGUUUGAGAGGAUGAUCAGUCACACUGGAACUGAGACACGGUCCAGACUCCUACGGGAGGCAGCAGUGGGGAAUAUUGCACAAUGGAGGAAACUCUGAUGCAGCAACGCCGCGUGGAGGAUGACACAUUUCGGUGCGUAAACUCCUUUUAUUAGGGAAGAUAAUGACGGUACCUAAUGAAUAAGCACCGGCUAACUCCGUGCCAGCAGCCGCGGUGAUACGGGGGGUGCAAGCGUUACUCGGAAUCACUGGGCGUAAAGAGCAUGUAGGCUGGUUUGUAAGUUGGAAGUGAAAUCCUAUAGCUUAACUAUAGAACUGCUUCCAA